This 305-nucleotide ribosomal RNA is filed under the name uncultured bacterium. RNAcentral's name for it is "bacterial SSU rRNA". It matches the Rfam family "Bacterial small subunit ribosomal RNA", at positions 337 to 640 of the family's 1533-position model. The record is from RNAcentral.
GCCUACGGGAGGCAGCAGUGAGGAAUAUUGGUCAAUGGUCGGGAGACUGAACCAGCCAAGCCGCGUGAGGGAGGAAGGUACAGAGUAUCGUAAACCUCUUUUGUCAGGGAACAAAGGCGGGGACGUGUCCCCGGAUGAGUGUACCUGAAGAAAAAGCAUCGGCUAACUCCGUGCCAGCAGCCGCGGUAAUACGGAGGAUGCGAGCGUUAUCCGGAUUUAUUGGGUUUAAAGGGUGCGCAGGCGGUCUGUUAAGUCAGCGGUCAAAGCCCGGGGCUCAACCCCGUCGUGCCGUUGAAACUGGCGUU